GUCGGCAGCUAGGUCUCUGCAACUCGCACAUAGUCACCCACAGAAGCUAAGCAGGGCUGCGCCCGGUCAGUAACUUGAUAGGAGACCACAUGGGAAAGCUAGGUUGCUGCCAGAA
Danio rerio (zebrafish) is the source of this 115-nucleotide ribosomal RNA. Lineage: Eukaryota; Metazoa; Chordata; Actinopteri; Cypriniformes; Danionidae. The record is from Ensembl.